AAGGUCUUGGGCGAUGGCGUCCGCCUGGGGCUUCGAGCCCGAACCGCCCGCUGAGGGCUGAUGACGCCUGUUCUCCG
RNAcentral lists this non-coding RNA (77 nucleotides) under Thermococcales archaeon 44_46. Its description in RNAcentral is "Thermococcales archaeon Fluoride sequence". It matches the Rfam family "Fluoride riboswitch aptamer (crcB RNA motif)". Lineage: Archaea; Methanobacteriati; Methanobacteriota; Thermococci; Thermococcales. The record is from RNAcentral.